UACAAAGGUCUCAAGCGUUGUUCGGAUUCAUUGGGCGUAAAGGGUGCGUAGGUGGCGCCGUAAGUCAGGUGUGAAAUUUCGGAGCUUAACUCCGAAACUGCAUUUGAUACUGCGGUGCUUGAGGACUGGAGAGGAGACUGGAAUUUACGGUGUAGCAGUGAAAUGCGUAGAGAUCGUAAGGAAGACCAGUGGCGAAGGCGGGUCUCUGGACAGUUCCUGACACUGAGGCACGAAGGCCAGGGGAGCAAACGGG
Molecule: ribosomal RNA, 253 nt
Filed under: uncultured bacterium
Lineage: Bacteria
Description: partial 16S ribosomal RNA
Rfam family: Bacterial small subunit ribosomal RNA
Source: RNAcentral